This 460-nucleotide ribosomal RNA is filed under the name uncultured bacterium. RNAcentral's name for it is "partial 16S ribosomal RNA". It matches the Rfam family "Bacterial small subunit ribosomal RNA", at positions 338 to 795 of the family's 1533-position model. The record is from RNAcentral.
CCUACGGUAGGCAGCAGUGAGGAAUAUUGGUCAAUGGACGAGAGUCUGAACCAGCCAAGUAGCGUGAAGGAUGACUGCCCUAUGGGUUGUAAACCUCUUUUGUCGGGGAGCAAAGCGAGUCACGUGUGACUCAUUGAGAGUACCCGAAGAAAAAGCAUCGGCUAACUCCGUGCCAGCAGCCGCGGUAAUACGGAGGAUCCGAGCGUUAUCCGGAUUUAUUGGGUUUAAAGGGAGCGUAGAUGGGUUGUUAAGUCAGUUGUGAAAGUUUGCGGCUCAACCGUAAAAUUGCAAUUGAUACUGGCAGUCUUGAGUACAGUUGAGGGAGGCGGAAUUCGUGGUGUAGCGGUGAAAUGCUUAGAUAUCACGAAGAACCCCGAUUGCGAAGGCAGCUUACUAAACUGUGACUGACAUUGAUGCUCGAAAGUGUGGGUAUCAAACAGGAUUAGAUACCCUUGUAGUC